CCGGAUGAGGGAGGGGGAAAACCACCUGUUGACAAUUAGAGGCAUGCGGAUGGAAUCCUAGGACGAGGAUAAAACAUCAAAGGAGGCGGGGGAGGCAGUGCUGAGAAGAGCACAACUAGAAACUGAGUGACAUCUCUGCCCAAAUCGUUUUUCGCUCCUUUGACAUUGUCUAGUCUCUCGAAUUUCCUCUUGAACUCCCCUGAAAACCUACACCUGCCUCCCCAGCCUCGGAAGAGGCAUGAAACCAGCCGAGGGAGCCGCAGUUUCAACAGUCAAGCCCUUUGGAAAGUGUUUUCGAGGGGGUGCAGGACAGGUGUCAGGAAGGGCAGCUAGGCGCUUCAAAGCUUCCCCCCAUCUGGCAGUGCCCCGGCUAGGUGGUGGCCGCCACAGCCUGGGCGAAGCCGGCUUCUUCCGAGGAUGGGCGCCAGCGUCUCCCACUUUCUUUUAUGACUUCUGGGGGUCAUUCUCCGGCGUCUGAGCGAAAGGGGGAAGCCACGAAGGCGAGUCAGGAAGAGUAUGGAGGGAAGGGAAAGGGGGAAAGGGGGAGUAAAUCCCUUACCCGUUCGCUGCCCCGGUAGAAGGGCGAGGAGCCCAGACGUAUCCCUGUAAUCCAUUACGAGCAGCCUUCGGUAGCAAUCCGAGUCCCCUGCCAAGCGGAAAAGCCCAGACAGGCAGGUAGGAGAGACAGCUCGCUAGAUAAGCAAGCUGCCUCGCUGGCAAAGGCAAGGGAGCUCUGCCUCCCCUCCCCUCCCCUCCCCUCCCCACCCCACGCGCGCGCCUCCCUCCCUCCCCGCCUACCCGAACCCUUCCCCGCACUCUGCGUCUCUCUUACGCCUGGAAACAGGCAGGGGAGCGGAGGAGGACUGGUGAGUGCCUGUCUGGGUGCGCCUGGGUUGUUUUGAAGAGUCUGGAACUCGAGUGGAUCGGUACCCACGCCUCAUGGUAGCGUUCGCAGGACACCUCGUCGGAGACAAAGGAAAGGCCUCUCUCGAAGAUCCCCGGGCCCUAAUGCGCAUGGAACUGGACGAGCGAAGUCCAACAAACCCUCGUUUGGCGACACAUCCAUUCAUUUGCAACGCUGGAGAAGGCGCCGGGAAUUCUAUGCUCCGAAAAAGAAGCAAGAGUUCAACUGGAUGGACGAUUAGAAAAAAUGUGGGGGUGGAGGUGGGGGGUGGAGAGAGAAAACAUGCCCUCCAAAGUUUAAAACUGACUCCUCUCGAACGUUAAGUCUCAGAGCAGUCGAUACACCCUGUCUUGUGUCUGUCUUGUGCCUCAUUCGCUUACAGUGCUAUUUAUUCAGGUUUGUUCCUUUUCCUUGCUGCAUACCUAACCACACUUUCUAAGAAGUAAGACUCCUCGAACGCUCCUCCACAUGCAGCUGAGUGAACGGGGGUGUAAGCUGCUGCCAUGUUGCAGCAGGCGUGUGGUUCCUAGGCAAAAAACACUCCCUUUAACCCUGAUCUAUUAUUUGGAUCUGAAGUGUGAUUGACAUCGGUGACACUUUCUUCCAAGGAAUCAUACCAAGCUGGGGGUGGUAGCGGGAAGCCGGAAUAUUGGCCUCUGUCGAUCCCGCAAGAGUCAGCUAUCCAAACUGGCUUUACCUGGAUUUUGCUGCCUCCCACUGUGACUCAAAAGUCGCCUUUUAAUACUUGGCGAAUUCCUCCCAUUAUUUAUGACCAUAUUGUGCGGUUAGGGUGUAAGCGCCUUCUGUUUGAAAGCGAUGCUCCUGGCAUUUGGACAUGUUCAGACUCACUUGAGAUUUGCUUCCAAGUCAGCAGUGCAAUAAGGGUCGGUUUGCAUGUCUGAAAUGUGGGGGUUUUAUCUUAAAGGACUGCAUGGCAACUCGGUAAACUGGAUUUCAACCCGUUUCCAAAAUGGCCGCUUCUCCGUAAAUGUUCUGGAUCGACAGACUCUAGAGCAGUGUUAUGUCUGAUGGCAUUAAUUAGAAUUGUCAUUCAUGGUGAAUUGUGGAUGGAAAUAUAUCGAUUAAAUACAUUAUAAAGUACACUUACAAACAUUAGGAAAUACAUUAUACAGUGCGCUUUUAAAUAUCUUCAGGAGAACAUUCGUGUAGCAUAUAUUAGCAAUUCUCUCCUAUCUUGUCUUCAGGCAUUUUAAUCCAAUUUUGGAAUUAACAUUGGAUAAAUACUGGAUACUCUCUUUUUCUAGUUGAAAGGGUUUUUCGGUUGAGAUGCUCAAAAUUGCCUCUCCCUCCCCUAGGGCUUCACUUAACUAAGCCUUGCCAUUCAUUGCAAACGUAUUGAUAUUUUACUAAUAAUGUCUACAAAUAUUUAACAUGUAUAUUUACUGGGUUUGUUUGUUUGUUUGUUUGUUUUUAAGUCACAAUCUGGAAGUUCAUUUGUCUUGCAUCCGCAUAACUAAUCGCAGACUGACCACUGAGCUGUUUUGCCGCAUUUAUGCAAAUCAAUGCACCAAAUUGUUUGCUUCACAGUUCCCUCCCCCCCUUUUUGCCGCAGUUCCUCUACGUGGACGAGUUCCCUGCCCACUAGGGCGCUGACGGUGGAAUGCGGUGCAAGGAAUGCGUUUGGUUCGGGAAGGGGCUUCUUUCUGAAUGCGAAAAGAGCCUCGGAAAUUAUAGCUGCAGGGAGUAUCUUUCCCUUUCUUUGUAGCUAGCCGAUUUCACCCCAACGUAACUGUACAUAUUUCCCAAGAAAAGAAUUCGACCAGAGCCAAUAUUAAUGCACAAGCACACAGCAAAAAAGUCACAGUGAACAAGACUCAUUCUCGGUGUGUGUGGGGUGGUGGUGGUUGAAGGAGGCAUCAUCUUAUUAAGGCGCGAUCCUCCCAAUUCUAGUUAAGUGAGAAAAGAAUUUGACCUGGUAUAUAUAUCCUUACUAAAAGCCUUGUUUUACUUCGCUUCCUGUAGCAGCAGAAUAGCAAAGUUAAUUUGCUUCAAGCGGCUUCAUAUGAGUAAAAUUAAAAUUAAAAUUAAAAAAAAUCACUGGCCGCCUCCAAGGCUGAUAAUAGCAGCGGGCGGGAUUCAGCUAGAGAACUUCUGCACAGAUUUAGCGCAGUGGAAGAGCAACAGAA
Molecule: long non-coding RNA, 3051 nt
Organism: Rhineura floridana
Lineage: Eukaryota; Metazoa; Chordata; Lepidosauria; Squamata; Rhineuridae
Exons: 2
Source: RefSeq, a predicted model, not a curated record